RNAcentral lists this ribosomal RNA (261 nucleotides) under uncultured prokaryote. RNAcentral describes it as "partial 16S ribosomal RNA". It matches the Rfam family "Bacterial small subunit ribosomal RNA", at positions 524 to 784 of the family's 1533-position model. The record is from RNAcentral.
UACGUAGGUGGCGAGCGUUAUCCGGAAUUAUUGGGCGUAAAGAGCGCGCAGGUGGUUGAUUAAGUCUGAUGUGAAAGCCCACGGCUUAACCGUGGAGGGUCAUUGGAAACUGGUCGACUUGAGUGCAGAAGAGGGAAGUCGAAUUCCAUGUGUAGCGGUGAAAUGCGUAGAGAUAUGGAGGAACACCAGUGGCAAAGGCGGCUUCCUGGUCUGUAACUGACACUGAGGCGCGAAAGCGUGGGGAGCAAACAGGAUUAGAUA